GACGAACGCUGGCGGCGUGCCUAACACAUGCAAGUCGAACGGAACUGUUUUGAAAGCUUUCUUCGGAAUGAAUUUGAUUUAGUUUAGUGGCGGACGGGUGAGUAACGCGUGAGUAACCUGCCUUCAAGAGGGGAAUAACAUUCUGAAAAGAAUGCUAAUACCGCAUGACAUAUCGGAACCACAUGGUUUUGAUAUCAAAGAUUUUAUCGCUUGAAGAUGGACUCGCGUCCGAUUAGUUAGUUGGUGAGGUAACGGCUCACCAAGACCGCGAUCGGUAGCCGGACUGGGAGGUUGAACGGCCACAUUGGGACUGAGACACGGCCCAGACUCCUACGGGAGGCAGCAGUGGGGGAUAUUGCGCAAUGGGGGCAACCCUGACGCAGCAACGCCGCGUGAAGGAUGAAGGUUUUCGGAUUGUAAACUUCUUUUAUUAAGGACGAAAAAUGACGGUACUUAAUGAAUAAGCUCCGGCUAACUACGUG
Molecule: ribosomal RNA, 482 nt
Filed under: uncultured bacterium
Lineage: Bacteria
Description: partial 16S ribosomal RNA
Rfam family: Bacterial small subunit ribosomal RNA
Source: RNAcentral